Long non-coding RNA from Brassica napus (rape), 1614 nucleotides. RefSeq lists it as uncharacterized. The record is from RefSeq and is a predicted model, not a curated record. The transcript is spliced from 8 exons. NCBI's taxonomy places the organism in Eukaryota, Viridiplantae, Streptophyta, Magnoliopsida, Brassicales, Brassicaceae.
UAGAUGUGAAUUUGUCGACAAAGAGUUGAUAAUCAAUACAAUACUAAAAGCCAGAUAUCCUCAAUGGAGAGGGGGUCUACGUCAGAUUAAUAAUUCAGGCCAAUCAUAGAGUUGUAUUGUGCCAUGUCAUAUGUUCCUCAUCGACUUCAUCUUCCUCCUUUUCCUCGAAGAAAUCCCAACCGUUUCACCUCUUCUCCUCUGUAACAUUAAAAUUGUGACUCAUAAAGCUUUAUCAUUUAGUGCAAUCACUAUAUAAUCUACCUCUUCACAUCCAAUUUUGGCGAGGAGAAUAAGAACUACAACGUAGAAUCUAUAUUUCUAUGUCAUCAACUCUGGAUCAAGUGCUAAAUCUCUGUCAUCAACCAAACACUGAUCAAGAAGAAAUCAGCAAACUCCCAUUUUCAAAAGCCAAGGAUAACAGAAAGUCAUCAUCCAACUUUCCAGACUUCUGCAACUGGUCUCCAUGAGCUCCAGACUACGUGUUUAUCCUAAUCGUUAAGUUCUCAUUCUUUGGGUUCUUGAUCUUCCAUUACAUCAGAUUCAUCACCGUUAAAUCCUUCAAGAUUUUCUAACAGCGAGAUGGCUUCACCGAAAUGGAACUGAGGUGAAACACAGUCUGGAAACUCAAAUUCCUAUUGGCUCCACCUUAUCACUAUCGGAAUCCAAAGAAGCCAGUGCCGUCCUAAUACUUUGAUAGUGAUUAAGUUGAGGCUUGAGGCGUAUUGAUGGCACAACGACCAGAUUGUUCUACUUCAUAUGAUAGUUUAGUCGGAUCCUGUAACACACUUUUGAGUAUAACCAUUUACAAGUACCUACUGCUUAAUGCACGAAAGUCUUUUGUCUCCACUGGAAGGUCUCCCAUCGUCCUGUAUUAUAACAAUCAAGAGAGUUAGGCAUGGAUAUAAGAUCAGAACGAUUGUUGGUUUUGAAGCAUAACCCGUGUUCAGAUCAUGUCAGAGCUCCACUGACACCACCGAUGACCAUAGUCAGAAUCAAGUACAGUUCCGUCUACCAAGGGUAAGUGACAAUCACUUCUAGGGAACCAUCUCAGAGUGAAUUUGCAACUGGUCUCAGCUUAAAAAUCUGUAAGGCACAAUAGAACACAAACUGUGUGUGAUCUGGCGUGUAGAAAAGGACUUGAUGUCCUCGACCUUCCACCAGCUUAUCAGACCCAUCAGCUUGCCCAGAACUUAUCAAAUUUUGGCGAGGGACGUUUCCGUCUUCACUCCAUGAGGGACGAAGAAGCUAAGGCUAAACCAUUAAGCUCGACCUGGAGGAGAACGAUUGUUGAGUUCAUCAAGUUAGAUUUCGGUAAUGUUGUGAUGGUGACUGGAGGUAGAAACAGAGGGCGUGUUGGUGUGAUUAGAAACCCUGUGAAGCUUAAGGGAAGCUUUGAGACUACCACCACAUACAAGACUCAACAGGACAUGAGUCUGCAACAAGGUUGAGGAAUAUGUUCACGCUAGGCAAAGGGUCAAAGCGUUGAAUGUCUUUUAUUAAGGGUUUAGGAUGUUAAUCAUUUAUGCAAUUAAAUUGAUUUGCAAAUAAUAUAUAUUCACAAGUCCAAGUAAAUUUUACUCAUUUUCAAAUCGAAUACAGUAAAAAAAUUCAUUA